UACGGAGGGUGCAAGCGUUAUCCGGAUUUACUGGGUUUAAAGGGUGCGUAGGUGGGUUGGUAAGUCAGUGGUGAAAUACUUUCGCUUAACGAAGGAACUGCCAUUGAUACUACCAGUCUUGAAUACAGUGGAGGUAGGCGGAAUGCGUCAUGUAGCGGUGAAAUGCUUAGAUAUGACGCAGAACACCAAUUGCGAAGGCAGCUGGCUACAGGGAUAUUGACACUGAGGCACGAAAGCGUGGGGAUCAAACAGG
RNAcentral lists this ribosomal RNA (253 nucleotides) under uncultured bacterium. RNAcentral describes it as "partial 16S ribosomal RNA". It matches the Rfam family "Bacterial small subunit ribosomal RNA", at positions 524 to 776 of the family's 1533-position model. The record is from RNAcentral.